This 775-nucleotide ribosomal RNA is filed under the name uncultured Neocallimastigales. Its description in RNAcentral is "partial large subunit ribosomal RNA". It matches the Rfam family "Eukaryotic large subunit ribosomal RNA", at positions 22 to 628 of the family's 3401-position model. Lineage: Eukaryota; Fungi; Neocallimastigomycota; Neocallimastigomycetes; Neocallimastigales. The record is from RNAcentral.
GUACACGCUGUGACUAGCAUAUCAAUAAGCGGAGGAAAAGAAACUAACAAGGAUUCCCCUAGUAACGGCGAGUGAAGCGGGAAGAGCUCAAAUUUGAAAUCUUAAAGGGUUUCCCUUUACGAAUUGUAGUUUAAAGAAGUGUUUUCUGUUGAGGUUUUGGUAAAAGUUCUUUGGAAUAGGACAUCAUAGAGGGUGAGAAUCCCCGUAUUUGACCUUUACUUUCAACUUUGUGAUACACUUUCAAAGAGUCGGAUUGUUUGGGAAUGCAGUCCAAAAUGGGUGGUAAAUUUCAUCUAAAGCUAAAUAUUGGCGAGAGACCGAUAGCGAACAAGUACCGUGAGGGAAAGAUGAAAAGAACUUUGAAAAGAGAGUUAAACAGUACGUGAAAUUGUCAAAAGGGAAGCGUUUGACACCAGUGUUGUUUUUCUGAAAAUCAAUUAAAGAACUGUUUAUGCUAAGCUGUUUAGACUUUAUCAGCUAACUGUUUAGUUUUGAGCCUUUCUUUAAUGCACUUUUCAGUUAACAAGUCAACAUCAAUUUCUUUUGCUGUAAAAAAGCUUGAGGAAGGUGGCUUGAGAUUCGUCUUAAGUGUUUAUAGCCUCUUGCCUAUGCAGUCGGAGAGAUUGAGGUCUGCAGCGUAGAUCCUUCGGGGCUAAAUGCAUUUGUGCUAAGUUAUAGCAUUUUAUAGACAACUUGUUGACUAUGAUUUGUCUUGUAGCUUACUCGCUUAUGUUAUUUUACCUACGCUUAGGAUGUUGAGUCGUAGAGCACGCAG